CAGGGAGAAUGAAUGUGAGGCAUAGGCUGCGUCUUGAAACCUAGUAAGCCGCCUACCUAGACAGCAUUUUUGGGUGUCAAUGCUAUGUUCUGUAUGUGUCUAGCUAGCUAGCUCACUAGUUAUUUUAGACACCGCCAUAAACAACAGAUAUCAAGUCAUCAUUUCAGCCACCAUUUUUUUCUUAUGGCGUAAAUAAAUUUAAACGUUAUUACUGUGCAUUAUUUGAGUAUUAGAGCGAUCUUUUCUUUAUGCCUGUUUUUUUAGGCAGUAAAACAGUCUUCUGGGUCCUGUUCUUCGACCGUGGUUUAACAUAUCCCGGAUUGACCUAGCUCGAUCUGAAAUUGAGUUUUUUCGGCUCUUCUAACACAUAUUUCGGAUUUAUGUAUCUAGCUAAUAAAGACAGCUGACCGUUCAUGUGAGGAUUUAUACAUUUGUCUAUCAUGGCUAAACAGCGUGCUGCAUUUUUCAGUGCUGCUGAAUUGCAACUUAUAAUGGAAGGAUAUGAGGAAGUUAAACAUUUAAUAAAAACCAAAGGGAACACUAUAGCGGCUGCAAAAGUCCGUCAGGAUGCGUGGCGAAAAAUAACUGCCAAAUUAAAUGCAUCCAACCCUAUGGGACCUAGAAGAACGUGGCAACAAGUGAAGACGAAAUACAAGAACAUCGUUCAAAGUGCUAACAAGAGAAAGGCUGCACUGAAGAAGAUGAGACUAGUCCCAACAAAAGAGGAGCACAUGGAUGAAGAGGAGCUGCCCCCUGAGAACAAUGUGGACAGUCCUAUCAUAGCGAGCAUAGUUGGUGGCUGCUGGUCUGAUCCAGGAGAUACAGCUGGCUGCAGCAGUUAUGUCACAGUGACUGAACAUGGACUGGCCCUACUUCAGCCACCUGUAUUAUCAGAUGAAGAGCUGGACUCUGAACCUGUGGAAGAUGUUAAGACACUAUACAAGAAGUAUCUCCAAGUAGAGAUCUCCAACAGAAAGCAAGAAAUGGCAUACAGAGCUUUAAAAAUGUGCAAAGUGGAGAAGGAAAUUCAGUUAUUGGACUGGAAAUUGGAUGCAAGCUGAUCCUUCAUGUUGAAAAUAAACCUUUUUUUUAUAUAAACCUACUGUGUUCCUUUCAAUAUUUAAAAGUCACAAGUCACAGCAGUUAUGUGCAGCAAGA
Sinocyclocheilus anshuiensis is the source of this 1158-nucleotide long non-coding RNA. NCBI's taxonomy places the organism in Eukaryota, Metazoa, Chordata, Actinopteri, Cypriniformes, Cyprinidae. The record is from Ensembl.